ACGAACGCUGGCGGCGUGCUUAACACAUGCAAGUCGAACGGAAAGGCCCUUUCGGGGGUGCUCGAGUGGCGAACGGGUGAGUAACACGUGGGUGAUCUGCCCUGCACUUUGGGAUAAGCCUGGGAAACUGGGUCUAAUACCGGAUAGGACUACGAAUCGCAUGGUUUGUGGUGGAAAGCUUUUGCGGUGUGGGAUGGGCCCGCGGCCUAUCAGCUUGUUGGUGGGGUGAUGGCCUACCAAGGCGACGACGGGUAGCCGGCCUGAGAGGGUGUCCGGCCACACUGGGACUGAGAUACGGCCCAGACUCCUACGGGAGGCAGCAGUGGGGAAUAUUGCACAAUGGGCGCAAGCCUGAUGCAGCGACGCCGCGUGGGGGAUGACGGCCUUCGGGUUGUAAACCUCUUUCGGUAGGGACGAAGCGUAAGUGACGGUACCUAUAGAAGAAGCACCGGCCAACUACGUGCCAGCAGCCGCGGUAAUACGUAGGGUGCGAGCGUUGUCCGGAAUUACUGGGCGUAAAGAGCUCGUAGGUGGUUUGUCGCGUUGUUCGUGAAAACUCACAGCUUAACUGUGGGCGUGCGGGCGAUACGGGCAGACUGGAGUACUGCAGGGGAGACUGGAAUUCCUGGUGUAGCGGUGGAAUGCGCAGAUAUCAGGAGGAACACCGGUGGCGAAGGCGGGUCUCUGGGCAGUAACUGACGCUGAGGAGCGAAAGCGUGGGGAGCGAACAGGAUUAGAUACCCUGGUAGUCCACGCCGUAAACGGUGGGUACUAGGUGUGGGUUUCCUUCCUUGGGAUCCGUGCCGUAGCUAACGCAUUAAGUACCCCGCCCGGGGAGUACGGCCGCAAGGCUAAAACUCAAAGGAAUUGACGGGGGCCCGCACAAGCGGCGGAGCAUGUGGAUUAAUUCGAUGCAACGCGAAGAACCUUACCUGGGUUUGACAUGCACAGGACGUGCCUAGAGAUAGGUAUUCCCUUGUGGUCUGUGUGCAGGUGGUGCAUGGCUGUCGUCAGCUCGUGUCGUGAGAUGUUGGGUUAAGUCCCGCAACGAGCGCAACCCUUGUCUCAUGUUGCCAGCACGUGAUGGUGGGGACUCGUGAGAGACUGCCGGGGUCAACUCGGAGGAAGGUGGGGAUGACGUCAAGUCAUCAUGCCCCUUAUGUCCAGGGCUUCACACAUGCUACAAUGGCCGGUACAAAGGGCUGCGAUGCCGUGAGGUGGAGCAAAUCCUUUCAAAGCCGGUCUCAGUUCGGAUCGGGGUCUGCAACUCGACCCCGUGAAGUCGGAGUCGCUAGUAAUCGCAGAUCAGCAACGCUGCGGUGAAUACGUUCCCGGGCCUUGCACACACCGCC
This 1352-nucleotide ribosomal RNA is filed under the name uncultured bacterium. Its description in RNAcentral is "bacterial SSU rRNA". It matches the Rfam family "Bacterial small subunit ribosomal RNA", at positions 29 to 1394 of the family's 1533-position model. The record is from RNAcentral.